UGGGGAAUUUUCCGCAAUGGGCGAAAGCCUGACGGAGCAAUACCGCGUGAGGGAUGACGGCCUAUGGGUUGUAAACCUCUUUUUUCAGGGAGGAAUCAAUGACGUGUACCUGAAGAAUAAGCAUCGGCUAACUCCGUGCCAGCAGCCGCGGUAAGACGGAGGAUGCAAGUGUUAUCCGGAAUCACUGGGCGUAAAGCGUCUGUAGGUGGUCCAAUAAGUCAACUGUUAAAUCUUGGGGCUCAACCUCAAAACCGCAGUCGAAACUAUUAGACUAGAGUAUAGUAGGGGUAAAGGGAAUUUCCAGUGGAGCGGUGAAAUGCGUAGAGAUUGGAAAGAACACCGAUGGCGAAGGCACUUUACUGGGCUAUUACUAACACUCAGAGACGAAAGCUAGGGUAGCA
This 401-nucleotide ribosomal RNA is filed under the name uncultured diatom. Its description in RNAcentral is "bacterial SSU rRNA". It matches the Rfam family "Bacterial small subunit ribosomal RNA", at positions 355 to 770 of the family's 1533-position model. The record is from RNAcentral. Lineage: Eukaryota; Bacillariophyta.